UACGUAGGGGGCAAGCGUUGUCCGGAAUCAUUGGGCGUAAAGCGCGCGUAGGCGGCCCGGUAAGUCCGCUGUAAAAGUCCAGGGCUCAACCCUGGAAAGCCGGUGGAUACUGUCGGGCUAGAGUCCGGAAGAGGAGAGUGGAAUUCCUGGUGUAGCGGUGAAAUGCGCAGAUAUCAGGAAGAACACCUAUGGCGAAGGCAGCUCUCUGGGACGGUACUGACGCUGAGACGCGAAAGCGUGGGGAGCGAACAGG
This 253-nucleotide ribosomal RNA is filed under the name uncultured bacterium. RNAcentral describes it as "partial 16S ribosomal RNA". It matches the Rfam family "Bacterial small subunit ribosomal RNA", at positions 524 to 776 of the family's 1533-position model. The record is from RNAcentral.